Molecule: long non-coding RNA, 327 nt
Filed under: Theobroma cacao (cacao)
Lineage: Eukaryota; Viridiplantae; Streptophyta; Magnoliopsida; Malvales; Malvaceae
Description: long non-coding RNA (TCAC_LNC004725)
Source: RNAcentral
AACAGAUCAUAUAUUAAAUGAGUUCCCUAGAGCAAAAAGGUAGAAAACAAAUAAAACGUGUAAAAAAAAUAUUUAUAUAUGAAUGAGAAUUAUGUAACAAGUGGCUUUAGACCUAGCUGUCUAAAACCAAAAACAAUAUUCUUCAGUAUUCUCAUACAAGUUCCCAAAACCCGUUGUAUUCCACAUACAAGUUCCCAAAACCCGUUGUAUUCCACAUCCAACUGCCACUAGAAUAAUCAUGCGUGUCCAUUGCUACAAUAUAACCUUCUCCAGUCUAUUUUGCAAAGGUCCUUUGUCACAGGAAGUUUUCUGCUUAUCAUAAUAAAC